RNAcentral lists this ribosomal RNA (436 nucleotides) under uncultured bacterium. Its description in RNAcentral is "partial 16S ribosomal RNA". It matches the Rfam family "Bacterial small subunit ribosomal RNA", at positions 29 to 507 of the family's 1533-position model. The record is from RNAcentral.
AACGAACGCUGGCGGCAUGCCUAACACAUGCAAGUCGAACGAGAUCCUUCGGGGCUUAGUGGCGCACGGGUGCGUAACGCGUGGGAAUCUGCCCUUAGGUUCGGAAUAACAGUUAGAAAUGACUGCUAAUACCGGAGGAUGACGUUAAGGCCAAUGAUUUAUCGCCUGAGGAUGAGCCCGCGUAGGAUUAGCUAGUUGGUGUGGUAAAGGGGCACCAAGGCGACGAUCCUUAGCUGGUCUGAGAGGAUGAUCAGCCACACUGGGACUGAGACACGGCCCAGACUCCUACGGGAGGCGGCAGUGGGUGAUAUUGGACAAUGGGCGCAAGCCUGAUCCAGCAAUGCCGCGUGAGUGAUGAAAGCCUUAGGGUUGUAAAGCUCUUUUACCCGGGAUGAUAAUGACGGUACCGAAAGAAUAAGCCCCGGCUAACUCCGUG